CUCCUUCUCUUUGCUCAGUAGAGCUGCCACAGCUCUCCGAGCUCAGCAUCCUUUUGUUCUGAAGCACAGCUGAGCUGUAGCACAGAAAGCUGUUCCUGGCAAAGGAUAUUACUUGGUGGAUGUGGUUUCCAACUCGCUCGGUGAUUUAGGACCUCAUCCAAAAAAGCAGUAAAAUCCACAGGAAAGCUCCCAUGAACAAUCUCAGCAAGGCUGAAAAGGAAAAUCUCUCUGGGUGUUGCCAUAACCUCCCAUCCACCAAGGAGCAGCUACGAUUCUACAACUCAAAGGAGCUAUUUAAAAUCUCCCUGUGACAGGAGAGGAUAUCUUCUUGCAUUUUCCAGCUCCAAACUUGUCUGUCACAAAGAGACACCCCAAACAGAAAGAGAAGCCGUCAGCUCUAUCUCGGAGAUCCAUUGGGAAGGAAAGGUCAGAUUAUUUUGGUCCUGUCCCUGUCUGUGUAGUCUCAUACCAGCACGUGCAUGCUUCGAUUUGCAGAUAUCUAAGCUAUGUGUGCAGAGACACACUGGCAGUAGAGAUGUCUGGAAAGCAUUUCUGGGGGCCCUGGAGCAAUGCAUACUCUUCCAAGCUGUCAGCUUCAGUAUGGAUGGAAGCAAAGUUCUGACUCUGGAAAUCAGUGCUUAACCACGUGUAUUUUGCCCUUGUUUAUCCCAGCAUAAAAUGAAGAGUAAUUCUACCUGGAAUCAUGCUGUCAGGACACAAAUGGGUUCCAGUCACUAAAAUAUCCAUCACGGUGCCUUGUCAAUGACAAAUGGGUGGAAAGGAAAAAGUAAAUUAAGCCUCAUGUCCUUUGCAAAAGGGUCAUCACGUUCCUAGCAAAAGGGUCAUCAAAAUGAAGUUGGAGUUAAACUGUUUCCACUGCACUUUCGGGGUCCAGCUGCCUCUCCUUAUACACUGCUUGGUGCUCAAAAAGCCAGCAAGGAUUUCAACAAAUACAGGUUGAAUAUGAUGAGUGAAAAGACGGAUGAACUCAGUGUUUUUCCCACUCUCUGGCUAAAAUGUGUAAAAAAAAAUACUUGGGAGCUGCAAGAUUGCAGUGAGAAGGCGCCUAAAGGUUACAGCACUAGAAAAGCUGAAGCUCUCCCUUUGAAGUAUAGGAUCAUAGAAGAAUCACAGAACCAGGUGAUUCAGGUGAAGGAUGGAUCCAUGGCUGCUGAACACAGUGGUGUGAUGCAGCUCACAGCCACUUACUGUUGGUGGGUUGGUGAGUUGGGACAACACUGGCUGGACCAGGAUGUUCAAUCCAACUUCUGGGAGAGAUACCCUCACACAUCUCAAGUGUCAUGAUGAGGAAACUGAACUCUGCUUCUGAAGCCUGGUUUAAUUGCCUUACCGCAGUUUAAUCUGUGAUUUCUUGUCUAGUUUCCCAUAUUCCCACACCAAACAGUCCUGAUACAGCACUGCUGAAGUUCAUAGAAUCAUAGAAUCCUUGGGUUGGAAAGGACCUCGAAGUUCAUCUACUUUGGGACCCACUGAGGGGCUUUCUCAUAAAAAGAAAAGUUAAAUUUGGAACUCCAUUGUUGUUGCUCCAGCAACACCAGGAUUGGAAACGUGCAUGUCCAGACAAACUAAAUUCAGUGCAGCAUCAGUUUUAACCCUCAGAAAUGAACCCUGAUGGAUUCACAUCAACAUUCUCAUUUACAGUAUUCUGCUACUGAAAGAUGGGGAGAUUCUCUAUAGGAGAGUUUUUUUUCCUCCUGCUAGCUUCUGUUCUGGCCCAGUCUAGGCUCUUCCUCAUGCAUAGAAUGUAAAACUCUGUAUUGGUAGAUGUCUCAAACAAUUGCCAAUACCCUUGGCCUUCUCUACAGUCAACAGAGAUGCAACCAGUAGAGUCAGCAGGAUUUCUGAAAUCUCUCCCUUUAAGUUGAUGUUUAAAAUAGGUCAGACGAAUCACGCCUCAAAAUUGCUUAUUUUUCUUUGAGGGACAUAAACAGAGCUCAGGAUGACCUGCUCAACUGGACACAUCUGCCUAUCAUUCCCUUCAGAGAAGCCAUAUUUUAUCUUUUUUCCCUCCUAAACCUAUUAAUGGUGAGCAUGCUGGAAGAGAUACAGUACUUCAGUCAGUCUUUGAAUUUUGGAAGCAUGCAGGCCCUGAUUGAUUAGUCUCAUGGGACUGGAUGACUCCAUAAGAUUCAAUGGCCCAAAGUCAACCAUGGGCGAUGGCUUAAACAAACCACCCAAGGAGUAUUCAUCCACUCAGAGCCUCCCACAACACCUCUCAGCAUCCAAAGGAAGGGCUGACCCCAUAUCCACCCAACCAGAUUCCUUCUCCCCCUCUUGUCAGUCCAUCCCCAGCACACAUCCAGACCACAUCUGUCCUCCCCAUCCCUCCUGCUCAGAUUCCAUUCCAUUCCAUUGCACUGUGGUAGGUAAGGAGCUUGCAGAAGUUUGCACAGUGGGAUGUGGCUGAGGGGCUUUGAGAAAAUCCUGCUUAUGGUACGAGGUGUGAGCCAGCAACAUCUCCUCCUUACUGCCCAGGCACCAGCAGCCUCCAAGCAGUAGCAUUUGUACAGAAGAAGACAACAUGGGACCCUUCAGAAACCCUCCUCCAAGAGAAGAUACCCAACAGCAAGGAGCACAGAGGCUGCGAAACGAGUACCAGGAGGGCUCUCUCCCCUGCUGCAUGGGUUUGGGCAGAGAGAGGUUGCUUGCUGCCCUCUCUUGGUUUCAGGUGGCUUUCACCUAUCCCAGGGAAAAUCUCAGCCCCCAGUUUGUGCAACGCCUUGCAGAAGAGAUUCAACAGGAAAAUGGGACCUCAGGAACUCAGGAAAGCAGCUGUUGCUCUCCCACACUUUCUGAAGACCUCAGAGCCAAUCUCGAUGCAGUACAUAGGUAGAGAAGAUCUGGGGAGUAACCAGCCAGACUUAGAAUCAUAGAAUCAUUAAGGCAGGAAAAGACCUCUAAAACCACCACAUCCAACCCCAACCCACCCCCACCAUGCCCACUGACCACUGUCACUCAGUGCCACAUCUCUGUGGUUCUUGAUCCCCUCCGGAGAUGGUGACUCCACCACUUCCCUGGCACGGAUAUGGGAUUUUCUUCUUCUAAACCAGACCUGGAGAACUGAUGUUCGAGCUGUGGUUUCUGCAUGGGGUCACCUGGUUUCUUUCACUGGGCUACAAUGCAAAGCAUGGUUGGAAAAUUCUCUUGGCGUGGCUGUAGGAGCAGUGAGCAGCGAGACCAGCCUGUGCUGCAGUAACUUCUGCAGCCCUCCCAGGCCCCUUUCAAAGAGGCUUGGGGGGUAUUUUCCAGAGAGUCCCAAAUUUGUCCAAAAUGGGAAAACUCUGACGGACUGGCUUUAAUUUGUUCAUUAAAAGCAGUGUGGGAAACUAUGAAAAUGUCAGAAUAUCUCAUUUCUAAAUGAUGAAGCUGAGGAUGGAAUAUUUGCUUACAAAAUUUUUAAAACCAG
This 3427-nucleotide long non-coding RNA is filed under the name Gallus gallus (chicken). Lineage: Eukaryota; Metazoa; Chordata; Aves; Galliformes; Phasianidae. The record is from RNAcentral.